GACGAACGCUGGCGGCGUGCUUAACACAUGCAAGUCGAACGGAAAGGCCCUGCUUUUGUGGGGUGCUCGAGUGGCGAACGGGUGAGUAACACGUGAGUAACCUGCCCUUGACUUUGGGAUAACUUCAGGAAACUGGGGCUAAUACCGGAUAGGAGCUCCUGCUGCAUGGUGGGGGUUGGAAAGUUUCGGCGGUUGGGGAUGGACUCGCGGCUUAUCAGCUUGUUGGUGGGGUAGUGGCUUACCAAGGCUUUGACGGGUAGCCGGCCUGAGAGGGUGACCGGCCACAUUGGGACUGAGAUACGGCCCAGACUCCUACGGGAGGCAGCAGUGGGGAAUAUUGCACAAUGGGCGGAAGCCUGAUGCAGCAACGCCGCGUGCGGGAUGACGGCCUUCGGGUUGUAAACCGCUUUCGCCUGUGACGAAGCGUGAGUGACGGUAAUGGGUAAAGAAGCACCGGCUAACUACGUGCCAGCAGCCGCGGUGAUACGUAGGGUGCGAGCGUUGUCCGGAUUUAUUGGGCGUAAAGGGCUCGUAGGUGGUUGAUCGCGUCGGAAGUGUAAUCUUGGGGCUUAACCCUGAGCGUGCUUUCGAUACGGGUUGACUUGAGGAAGGUAGGGGAGAAUGGAAUUCCUGGUGGAGCGGUGGAAUGCGCAGAUAUCAGGAGGAACACCAGUGGCGAAGGCGGUUCUCUGGGCCUUUCCUGACGCUGAGGAGCGAAAGCGUGGGGAGCGAACAGGCUUAGAUACCCUGGUAGUCCACGCUGUAAACGGUGGGUACUAGGUGUGGGGUCAUUCCACGGGUUCCGUGCCGUAGCUAACGCUUUAAGUACCCCGCCUGGGGAGUACGGCCGCAAGGCUAAAACUCAAAGGAAUUGACGGGGCCCCGCACAAGCGGCGGAGCAUGCGGAUUAAUUCGAUGCAACGCGUAGAACCUUACCUGGGUUUGACAUGGAUCGGGAGUGCUCAGAGAUGGGUGUGCCUCUUUUGGGGUCGGUUCACAGGUGGUGCAUGCCUGUCGUCAGCUCGUGUCGUGAGAUGUUGGGUUAAGUCCCGCAACGAGCGCAACCCUUGUUCACUGUUGCCAGCACGUUAUGGUGGGGACUCAGUGGAGACCGCCGGGGUCAACUCGGAGGAAGGUGGGGAUGACGUCAAGUCCUCAUGCCCCUUAUGUCCAGGGCUUCACGCACGCUACAAUGGCUGGUACAGAGAGUGGCGAGCCUGUGAGGGUGAGCGAAUCUCGGAAAGCCGGUCUCAGUUCGGAUUGGGGUCUGCAACUCGACCUCAUGAAGUCGGAGUCGCUAGUAAUCGCAGAUCAGCAACGCUGCGGCGAAUAAGUUCCCGGGGCU
RNAcentral lists this ribosomal RNA (1345 nucleotides) under uncultured bacterium. Its description in RNAcentral is "bacterial SSU rRNA". It matches the Rfam family "Bacterial small subunit ribosomal RNA", at positions 28 to 1381 of the family's 1533-position model. The record is from RNAcentral.